AUCGAAUUUCACUUUACUUCCAGGGAAAAUGAGUAAUUAUAGUUAUUUCAUCUCGUUACGAGUUUUCAGAUUCUCCUUUGGGUACACAUGAAUCUCUACUAAAUUUAAUAUCGCGAAACUUCAAUUCGAUCAUUACUUCGUAAUCGCGAUGCCGGCCGUCAUUCUCCAGCGCUGCGUGCGAAUUUCGCAAUGCCUACAACAGUCGGUUAUCCCACAGUCUGUGAACCUCGCUGAACACAGAACGAUCUCAGUCCCGCACUCUGCGGAUUUGGAUAAAAAAAAUAUUAAUAUUGGAAUAAAAGCAGUGCAAAGUUAUUAAAGUAAAAACUUAAUUCUUUAAACGUUAAUGAAUUACACACCUUGCUCAUUCUUUAAAAUAAUUAUUAAAGUAUUUUAUGAUCUCGGUAAAUUUGAAUACGAUAUCGUAUAAUCGGAUUUGUUGUAGUAUUAUAUUGAAUUAGAUAGUGAAGGCGUCUCAAGUGAACCCGCCUCAAAAUCCAACUGUGCAAGAUACCGUUUUUUCCCUUCCCUUCCAAAAUUAUUACUGCACGUAUCGUAGAAACAUGUCCGUUUUCUAUUUUUCAUCGCGUAGAUUAGGUCCAUAAAUUUGAAUACUUACGGAAUAUGUGAUAGGUAUUAGAAAACAUAACGAAACAUUUUUAGGCUUACCAUGCACCAUCGCGAAUAAUCCACAGAUCAUCUAUGGAUACAAAACUAUCGUGCUACAUAAUACAAUACAAGAAUGUCUAAGUAAUUGCGAAUACUGUGUAUAUAAUGUUCUAAACUACGAAGAGAGUUUUCACGCCUUCGGGAAUAAUUUUGCUGCAUCGAUGUUUCGCAAGUAGCGUCUAUAAUAGCAACCGCAGCUGGGUGUAAAAGUUGAUCUUUGAAAGAAAAUAUAACUGCAGCUUGAGAAACAGCACGUAAAAUGUCGAUAAUAACUAUAAGUUAUAUGCAUUACUCGGAUACAAAUGUUUAAAUAUGUUAUAAAUGGCUACAUAUCUUAGAAUGCACGUGAGCGAUUUUUAAUGAAAUGUUAAGAUUCGGUAUUAUGCAUCAGUCUCAAUUUGUAACGGCGCGUACAGCUUUUAACUUUCAUCGAACCGAUCGAAUCUAAAAAACCAAAAAAACAAUUUAAUGAAAUCGAUUCCAAUUAUAUUUUUGAGUUGUGCAAUGUCUAGUGCAGAAGCUGACAGUCCUGAUAUACAGAGGUACUAAUAUACGUACAACGUGCACUAUAGUUAUGCAGGUUACGUAAAUACGCCGAUGCCUGUGUCCCGCAUUCGACAGAAAUUUCCCAUUGAUAGGCGCACGUGAGCGGCUGGCACGUGGCUGCGCUGAACUUGGUCGAGGCUCGCGAGUCGCUGCCUCGUUCAGACAAUGUACGCUUGGUAUAUCCGUCGAGAUAUAAGCUGGCUACGGAAACAAGGUGCAACGUUAAACGUCGAUAGAAACUGUACUUCAAUUCGUACUAGAGCGUGAACGCAGAUUUUUAACAGUAAAUCGUCUUUAUAAUUUUUCAGCCCACUUCGUUGUACGUUUGCAUCCCAAUAUAGGUAUAGGUCGUUAUUAUUACGUAUUCGAUGAUCAUACAACGUGAGAGCAGCUUAUACGACUUGACAUUAAAUGUUUAGCGAAUUAGCGUCGUUAAUUGAUCAUGUACCACGCUUAAGGGUAAAACGAGAAUUUUCCUCAUCCUACUAACAUCCGUUUUAGUUGUAAUAAAGAUCACUCUGCAGCUGCGUUGCAAUCUGAUUGAUAUAUCGCGAUUGUAUUGUGAUCUGGGCUACAUGUAAGUGAAACUAGAAAGCGAAAUAUAUUCGAAGAAACUGACAUGAAUCUACACAUACUGAAUAAUGUGAAAUAUUUUUAUAUCCAACAUAACACAACGCUAAGCAACCGUCUGAUCGAUGAAUUGAUGUCAGCAGCUUCGGACUUGUGAAAUAAAAAGCUACAAUGAAGAUGAACUACAACGGCAGCAAAUUUAGCUGGGCGACGCUUCCAGCUGAAGCGCUGGCUCGAAUCUUCGGCAAUUUAUCUUAUGACGAAUUAAUAUCGGCUUCGUUGGUCUGCAAACACUGGGAGAUGGUUGUGCACAGUCCGUCGCUCUGGCGAACGGUUGAAUUCAACUUGAGCCAAGCAGACAACUCCACCAACCCCCACCUGAUUGAUUACAUACUACGGCGUCACGGUAACCACAUCCGCGACGUUUCUCUCAAAACGGACAACUCUGUCGAGUCUGCGGAGGCUGCCUGCAUCGUUCUUUCUCGCCUGGUCAACUCUUCCUUGAAGACACUAACGCUGAUGAGUGCUGCGAAGCCAGCAUUCAUGGACAUCGAGGAGAAGAAAUUUACGUCAGCUCUAAUUAUUGCCCUUGAUCAUUCGCCGCUUAGGUCACUAGAUAUCGAUCACACGCCCGUGGAUGAUCCAUCUUUAGCCACCCUAGCAUUGAGUACAUCUGGAACGCUGCAACUUCUACGGAUCAAGAGUUGCCCUCGAUUGUCGCCAAGAGGUAUUCUAGCACUCGCUGAGCAUUGCCAAUGUCUCCGUGAACUCUCGCUAUCUUAUUCUCUCCUAAGCGAUGAACUUCUGGUGGCUCUCAGCGUGGAGAAACACGUUCGUCUAGAGACGCUCAGGGUCGAAGCGUAUCCUGAAUCAAAACCACUACCACGUCUAAGUGACAGAGCGUGGCUUGCCUUGGCAACUCACUCGCCAAACAUCAACUUUGUAUUAUUAUCCUACAUCACGGACGAAGACGAUUUCGCACCACUUCUUGCCUCCUAUGUACCCGUUACUCACCUCUACUUCGGCGAAGAUGCACCUGCAGCGGUCGUUGCUAGGAUUGGAAAGUUUUGUCCCCGGCUUGUGGAGCUCGUCAUCAGUAGACACAGUCCUGGACCAAUUGAUCAAGCUUUGAUAUCCGCUGCUAGAGGAUGCCCCCAACUCGCCGCCGUCGGCCUUGGUGACUGUGAACUCACAUGCUCUGGAUUCGUCGAUUUUGUAGUUCUGUGCGCAGAGCGUCUUCGGGAAUUGUACGUAUACGAAACGUCGCUGCUGGAAGACUCUAAGUACGACGUUGCAAGUGCAGCCGGCAGAGUAUCGUCUUUGCUAGGACGAAGUUGGGCACCCGAAUACAUUCCGAUGUGGUAAAACAUAUCAUCGGCUCGGAUGGUGGCUGAUCCGCGUCACUCCUUGGUUGAUACGAGAUAUUACCAUACUCUUGAAGCAGUGGGCACAACCCUAAGAGGAAGUGAUAGAAAUCUUUUCUAAUGCCAAACCACCCUUAAAAAGACAAAGCAAAAAGGGCUCACCUGAAAUACUAAAAUGGGAACUACUAGAAAAGUGUAUCCCAAUGCAGAAUUUAAUGACGUCCGCCUUUGCCGCGCAUUUAUUUGUGGAGUUCUAAGUAA
RNAcentral lists this unclassified non-coding RNA (3410 nucleotides) under Neodiprion lecontei (redheaded pine sawfly). Its description in RNAcentral is "f-box/LRR-repeat protein 3, transcript variant X4". The record is from RNAcentral. Lineage: Eukaryota; Metazoa; Arthropoda; Insecta; Hymenoptera; Diprionidae.